This 253-nucleotide ribosomal RNA is filed under the name uncultured bacterium. RNAcentral's name for it is "partial 16S ribosomal RNA". It matches the Rfam family "Bacterial small subunit ribosomal RNA", at positions 524 to 776 of the family's 1533-position model. The record is from RNAcentral.
UACGAAGGGGGCGAGCGUUGUUCGGAAUUACUGGGCGUAAAGGGCGCGUAGGCGGCGACUCUAGUCAGAUGUGAAAGUCCUGGGCUUAACCUGGGGACUGCAUUUGAUACUGGGUUGCUUGUAUUCGGGAGAGGAUAGCGGAAUUCCCAGUGUAGAGGUGAAAUUCGUAGAUAUUGGGAAGAACACCGGUGGCGAAGGCGGCUAUCUGGACCGACAUUGACGCUGAGGCGCGAAAGCGUGGGGAGCAAACAGG